RNAcentral lists this transfer RNA (91 nucleotides) under Candidatus Cloacimonadota bacterium. RNAcentral's name for it is "tRNA-Ser". It matches the Rfam family "tRNA". From Rfam's summary of the family: Transfer RNA (tRNA) molecules are approximately 80 nucleotides in length. Their secondary structure includes four short double-helical elements and three loops (D, anti-codon, and T loops). Further hydrogen bonds mediate the characteristic L-shaped molecular structure. tRNAs have two regions of fundamental functional importance: the anti-codon, which is responsible for specific mRNA codon recognition, and the 3' end, to which the tRNAs corresponding amino acid is attached (by aminoacyl-tRNA synthetases). tRNAs cope with the degeneracy of the genetic code in two manners: having more than one tRNA (with a specific anti-codon) for a particular amino acid; and 'wobble' base-pairing, i.e. permitting non-standard base-pairing at the 3rd anti-codon position. RNAcentral also lists the same sequence under 1 other name. Lineage: Bacteria; Pseudomonadati; Candidatus Cloacimonadota. The record is from RNAcentral.
GGAGAGUUGCCAGAGCGGUUGAAUGGGGCGGUCUCGAAAACCGUUGUUUUCGCACAGAGAACCCAGGGUUCGAAUCCCUGACUCUCCGCCA